UACGGGGGGGGCAAGCGUUGUUCGGAAUUACUGGGCGUAAAGGGCUCGUAGGCGGCCAACUAAGUCAGACGUGAAAUCCCUAGGCUCAACCUAGGAACUGCGUCUGAUACUGGAUGGCUUGAAUCCGGGAGAGGGAUGCAGAAUUCCAGGUGUAGCGGUGAAAUGCGUAGAUAUCCGGAGGAACACCGGUGGCGAAGGCGGCUUCCUGGACCGACACUGACGCUGAGGCGCGAAAGCUAGGGGAGCAAACGGG
This 253-nucleotide ribosomal RNA is filed under the name uncultured bacterium. RNAcentral's name for it is "partial 16S ribosomal RNA". It matches the Rfam family "Bacterial small subunit ribosomal RNA", at positions 524 to 776 of the family's 1533-position model. The record is from RNAcentral.